CGGGCAUGCCUAACACAUGCAAGUCGUACGAGAAAGCCGGCUUCGGCUGGUGAGUAAAGUGGCGCACGGGUGAGUAACGCGUGGAUAAUCUGCCCUUAAGUGUGGAAUAACGUACCGAAAGGUGCGCUAAUACCGCAUAAUGCCUGGCAACACAAGUUGUCCGGCCAAAGAAGGCCUCUGUUUACAAGCUUUCGCUUCAGGAUGAGUCCGCGUACCAUUAGCUUGUUGGUGGGGUAAUGGCCUACCAAGGCUGCGAUGGUUAGCUGGUCUGAGAGGAUGAUCAGCCACACUGGAACUGAGACACGGUCCAGACUCCUACGGGAGGCAGCAGUGAGGAAUAUUGCGCAAUGGGGGCAACCCUGACGCAGCAACGCCGCGUGAGUGAGGAAGGUUUUCGGACUGUAAAGCUCUGUCGAGCGGGAAGAAGUGUACCAUGGCUAAUAUCCAUGAUAUUUGACGGUACCGCUAGAGGAAGCACCGGCUAACUCCGUG
RNAcentral lists this ribosomal RNA (492 nucleotides) under uncultured bacterium. RNAcentral's name for it is "bacterial SSU rRNA". It matches the Rfam family "Bacterial small subunit ribosomal RNA", at positions 40 to 507 of the family's 1533-position model. The record is from RNAcentral.